Talpa occidentalis (Iberian mole) is the source of this 1595-nucleotide long non-coding RNA. RefSeq lists it as uncharacterized. Lineage: Eukaryota; Metazoa; Chordata; Mammalia; Eulipotyphla; Talpidae. The record is from RefSeq and is a predicted model, not a curated record. The transcript is spliced from 4 exons.
GCGUCACGCGCGGGCGCCGCCAAGGUCGGGAGCCGAGGAGCCUGCGCGGGAAGCCAAGGGCUGUAAAAACUGCUUCAGUAAUGUAACUCCUGUGAGAGCUCUCCGAGGGAAUUAGUGACAUCCCAGUGAAUUCUCAAAAGAGUGUACCUGAGACGUAUUGGCCAGCCUGAACUGCAUGUGGAUAGGCAACCUGACUUCUAAGCAACUCACCCACUUUGGAAGGAACUGUGUCUUGGCUGCGACUGAGGCGACAGCGGGGGAGGAAGGGAAUGGAAAUGUACUACGACUCGGUGGACCAGUUCUUUCUCAGGCUGGUAACAUUACGGAAUCCCUGUUGUAAUGCAAGUUGAGCUGGUGGAAAUCUGAGUCCCAUGCCCGCUCCUCAUAAGCUGUUUGUCCAGGCCUGAGGGAUUCCCACGGUCAUAAAGCAGAGUCACUGGCGUUUGGAGUCCUGAGAACCUUGCUGCCCCUGAGGCCAUUUAAGUCAGAUGCCCUGGGGUGGACCUGGUGUCAGCGUCCUGUCAAGCUUUCCACGUGACUCCGGGCACAGCAGGCUUGGAGAACUAGUGUGGCGUCUUCCUGAUCACAAGGCACGGAGCUCCCCUGUGGCCCUUUUGGUCUGUCACACAGCCUGGCUUCUUGUGAUCUGUCUGAUUAAAAAUGGAAGCCUGUGGCUUGCCUGGUGAUGCCCAGGGGAUUGCCUUCUCCCUGAGAGGGAGGGCCAGUGUUGGUCCCGCGCGCGCCAGCGCCACCUGCAGGCUUGUCAGAGCAGACUGCUGGGCCCACCCCAGGGUGGGACUCAGUGGUGGUGGGGUGGCGUCCACGCAUCUGCACGCACAACGCAUUCUCAAGUGAUGCCGAGGCUGGUAGCGGACGCACCUUGAGAACCGCCAACCCAGAGGACCUGGACUGAGGGAGCCCCAGCAGCUUUGGACCCUUGGGAGAGCCUAAGAGUGGACAGGGAAGUAAAAGACCCGCUGGAAACAUCACUUCACCUGGAGCUUAGCAGUUAGUAGCCCAGACCCCAAAUCCAGCCCAUAGACGUGUUCUGUAGGUCACACGGCGCUUUCCAUAAAGCAAAGUACUAUUUAAAAAACCAGUAACUUACCCAAUACACAUUUACCUGCACACACACAUGCACACACACACACACACACGCACACACAGACAAAUCUUGAUUUUUCAAGAAGUGCGUUGGCAGAAAGGAGCAGAUGUUCCCACAUGGCACUGGUAGGGUAAGGUAAAAGGUAUCAGGCUUUUCUGCCCUCCCGCCAUCAGGAUAGAUGAGGGAACCCUGUGAUCCUGAAUGCAUGCCUGAUGGCGGGCAUCUGAAGUGGGUACACCUGUGCUAAGACUGUGCUUUUAAGGGCAGCGUCACGGGGACGCCAGGAGAAGCCGAGAAGCAGAAGAAGCCGAAAGAGAAGAAGCCCGAAGCAGAAGCAGAGAAGGCUGGAGAGCCCAGAUAGAGUGAACACUUGCUGGGGGCUGGGAGGCCUGCCAGCCUCCCGGCCCCCCAGCACCCCUGCCUGCCAUAUGCCUGGUGAACCCCAAUAAAAGACCUGCAAAAAACCACUGAGGACUCUGACUCCUCCUUU